CCUGGGUAUCAGGGUUUAAUAAUUAAAUUUAAAAAAUUUUAAUUUCCUGAAUUCAAAAGAGUUAAUUUUAUAUAUAUAUUAUUGUAAAAUAAAUAUUUAUAAUAUAAUUUUAGAAGUGAAAUGUUAUUCGAUUUUGAAUAUAUCUGGUUAUUUAAGAAAUAAAUUUAAUUUAAUUACUUUAUAAUAAAUUUCUAAUUUUUUAGUUAUUUAUUUAAAGUAUUAAAUAUWUUUAGGGAUGAGCUUAAAAAUAAAUUUUAAUAAGUUAAUUAAAAAUAGAUUAUUUAUAGGAUUAGAAUUUUUCAUUAUUAAAAAUAUGUUAUAGUUUUUAAUUUUUAAAAUAAGAUUUUUAUUAAUUUUUAAUUUUUUAUUAAAUUAAUUAUUUAAAUUUGAAAAGUAAUGUAAUUAUGUUAAAAUUAGUAUAAAUUGAAAUAUAAAUUUAAUUUUAAAGUUAAGUUAAAUUAAAGGAACUUGGCAAAAAACUUUUUCACCUGUUUAUUAAAAACAUGGCCUUUUGUUUAGGUUUUAAGGUCUGGCCUGCCCACUGAGUAAUUAAAUGGCCGCGGUAUUUUGACCGUGCUAAGGUAGCAUAAUCAUUAGUUUUUUAAUUGAAAGCUUGUAUAAAUGGUUUAAUGAAAAAAGAUCUGUCUCUAGUUUAUUUUUAUAGAAAUUUAUUAUUAAGUGAAAAGGCUUAAUUAUUUUUAAAAGACGAGAAGACCCUAUAGAGUUUAAUAGAUUUUAUAUUUUAAAAUAUUUAGUAUUUAU
Molecule: ribosomal RNA, 762 nt
Filed under: Urodontus mesemoides
Lineage: Eukaryota; Metazoa; Arthropoda; Insecta; Coleoptera; Anthribidae
Description: partial 16S ribosomal RNA
Rfam family: Archaeal large subunit ribosomal RNA (bases 443-692)
Source: RNAcentral